CCUACGGGGGGCAGCAGUGGGGAAUAUUGCACAAUGGGGGCAACCCUGAUGCAGCGACGCCGCGUGAGUGAAGAAGUAUCUCGGUAUGUAAAGCUCUAUCAGCCGGGAAGAAAAUGACGGUACCUGACUAAGAAGCCCCGGCUAAAUACGUGCCAGCAGCCGCGGUAAUAUGCCGGGGGCAAGCGUUAUCCGGAUUUACUGGGUGUAAAGGGAGCGUAGACGGGAGAGCAAGUCCGCAGGGAAAGCCGGCGGCCCAACUGCGGGACUGCGUUGGAAACUGCCCGGCUAGAGUGCGGGAGAGGUAAGCGGAAUGCGUAGUGUAGCGGUGAAAUGCGUAGAUAUUAGGAGGAACACCAGUGGCGAAGGCGGCAUACUGGACAGUAACUGACGUUGAGGCUCGAAAGCGUGGGGAGCAAACAGGAUUAGAUACCCUUGUAGUC
This 440-nucleotide ribosomal RNA is filed under the name uncultured bacterium. RNAcentral describes it as "partial 16S ribosomal RNA". It matches the Rfam family "Bacterial small subunit ribosomal RNA", at positions 338 to 795 of the family's 1533-position model. The record is from RNAcentral.